AAACCGCCCAGAGGUAAACGGGUGGAUCCGCAAAGUCGGCCCGCGGAAUUCAGCGCGGCGCGCAGACCUGGACUGCAGUGGAUCGGGAUCCCUGGGACCCAUCCGCGGUGUCACACGGGUCUCCGCCGCGUGCACUUUCCGCGGGCAGAGAGCCACAACCGGCCGGGCGGCGGCCAAAAGCCCCGAGGGCUGCAGGUGGGGGCGCCUGCGUCCCCACCAGCCCUCGGUUGCCAGCCGCUGUCCUGACCGAGGGAACGCCGCGCGCCUCGAGGCCACCCUCCCCUCCGGGUGAGUUCGACUGGGAGAGACUGGGCAACCGUGUCUCCCGACUGCUCAUCCGCGAUCGGCGUGGGGCUGGCCGGGCGCGCACCAUGGUUGGUGGCAAGUCUGUCGGCAGUCCACCCGACCCGUCUUGAA
RNAcentral lists this ribosomal RNA (417 nucleotides) under Mcleania darlingtoni. RNAcentral's name for it is "partial 28S ribosomal RNA". Lineage: Eukaryota; Metazoa; Mollusca; Gastropoda; Stylommatophora; Thysanophoridae. The record is from RNAcentral.